GUGGGGAAUAUUGGACAAUGGGCGCAAGCCUGAUCCAGCCAUGCCGCGUGUGUGAAGAAGGCCUUCGGGUUGUAAAGCACUUUUGUUGGGAAAGAAAUCCUGUCGGCUAAUACCCGGCGGGGAUGACGGUACCCAAAGAAUAAGCACCGGCUAACUUCGUGCCAGCAGCCGCGGUAAUACGAAGGGUGCAAGCGUUACUCGGAAUUACUGGGCGUAAAGCGUGCGUAGGUGGUUCGUUAAGUCAGAUGUGAAAGCCCCGGGCUCAACCUGGGAAUUGCAUUUGAUACUGGGGGACUAGAGUGCGGUAGAGGAGAGUGGAAUUCCCGGUGUAGCAGUGAAAUGCGUAGAGAUCGGGAGGAACAUCAGUUGCGAAGGCGGCUCUCUGGACCAGCACUGACACUGAGGCACGAAAGCGUGGGGAGCAAACAGGAUUAGAUACCCGAGUAGUCC
This 450-nucleotide ribosomal RNA is filed under the name uncultured bacterium. RNAcentral describes it as "partial 16S ribosomal RNA". It matches the Rfam family "Bacterial small subunit ribosomal RNA", at positions 354 to 796 of the family's 1533-position model. The record is from RNAcentral.